RNAcentral lists this ribosomal RNA (253 nucleotides) under uncultured bacterium. RNAcentral describes it as "partial 16S ribosomal RNA". It matches the Rfam family "Bacterial small subunit ribosomal RNA", at positions 524 to 776 of the family's 1533-position model. The record is from RNAcentral.
UACAGAGGGUGCUAGCGUUGUUCGGAAUCAUUGGGCGUAAAGGGCGUGUAGGCGGUUUGUUAAGUCAUGUGUGAAAGCCCCCGGCUCAACUGGGGAGGGUCAUUCGAUACUGAUCGACUCGAAGGCAGGAGAGGGUAGUGGAAUUCCCGGUGUAGUGGUGAAAUGCGUAGAUAUCGGGAGGAACACCAGUGGCGAAGGCGGCUUCCUGGCCUGUUCUUGACGCUGAGGCGCGAAAGCUAGGGUAGCAAACGGG